Molecule: ribosomal RNA, 1889 nt
Filed under: Salibacteraceae bacterium
Lineage: Bacteria; Pseudomonadati; Bacteroidota; Flavobacteriia; Flavobacteriales; Salibacteraceae
Description: partial 23S ribosomal RNA
Rfam family: Bacterial large subunit ribosomal RNA
Source: RNAcentral
CCAUGUCCGAAAGGGAAAGAACCCAGAUCAUCAGCUAAGGUCCCCAAAUGUGUGUUAAGUUGACAAAACGCGGUCAGAUUGCAUAGACAGCUAGGAUGUUGGCUUGGAAGCAGCCAUUCAUUUAAAGAGUGCGUAACAGCUCACUAGUCGAGCGAUUUGGCAUGGAUAAUAAUCGGGCAUAAAUACACUACCGAAGCUAUGAACUUGAAUUUAUUCAAGUGGUAGGGGAGCAUUCUAAUUGCAUUGAAGGUGAACUGUGAGGUUUGCUGGAGCGGUUAGAAAAGAAAAUGUAGGCAUAAGUAACGUUAAGGAGGGCGAGAACCCCUCCCACCGCAAGACUAAGGUUUCCCCGGCUAUGCUAGUCAUCCGGGGGUUAGUCAGGACCUAAGGCGUACCCUAACGGGGAAGUCGAUGGACAACGGGUUAAUAUUCCCGUACUUGCUUAAACAGUGAUGGAGAGACGGAGUAGUGAAAGUACCGCGUACUGACGGAAUAGUACGUUGAAAACCGUAGGUAUUGGAGAGGCAGGUAAAUCCACCUUUCUAGCUGAAAGUUGAUAGUACCAAGAGCCUUCGGGCAAUUGGAUAGUGUACCUAAUCAGACUUCCAAGAAAAACUUCUAAACUUAUGUUUAAGCAACCUGUACCGCAAACCGACACAGGUAGUCGAGGAGAGUAUCCUAAGGUGGACGAGUGAUUCAUGGCUAAGGAACUAGGCAAAAUAGACCCGUAACUUCGGGAGAAGGGUCCCCUGUAGUAAUACAGGGCGCAGUGAAAAGGCCCAGGCGACUGUUUAUCAAAAACACAGGACUCUGCUAAGUUGAAAGACGAUGUAUAGGGUCUGACACCUGCCCGGUGCCGGAAGGUUAAGUGGAGAUGUUAGUCUUCGGAUGAAGCAUUGAAAUGAAGCCCCGGUAAACGGCGGCCGUAACUAUAACGGUCCUAAGGUAGCGAAAUUCCUUGUCGGGUAAGUUCCGACCUGCACGAAUGGUGUAACGAUCUGGGCACUGUCUCGGCCAUGAGCUCGGUGAAAUUGUAGUAACGGUGAAGAUGCCGUUUACCCGCAGUGGGACGGAAAGACCCCGUGAACCUUCACUAUAGCUUUACAUUGACUUUGGGUAAACGAUGUGUAGGAUAGGUGGGAGACUAUGAAGCUGGCACGCUAGUGUUGGUGGAGUCAACCUUGAAAUACCACCCUUCGUUUAUCUGGAGCCUAAUCCCGUAAGGGAGACAGUGUAUGGUGGGUAGUUUGACUGGGGUGGUCGCCUCCAAAAGAGUAACGGAGGCUUUCAAAGGUUCCCUCAGCACGCUUGGUAACCGUGCGUAGAGUGCAAUAGCAUAAGGGAGCUUGACUGUGAGACUGACAAGUCGAGCAGGUACGAAAGUAGGAUAUAGUGAUCCGGUAGUUCCGUAUGGAAGGGCUAUCGCUCAAAGGAUAAAAGGUACUCCGGGGAUAACAGGCUGAUCACUCCCAAGAGCUCACAUCGACGGAGUGGUUUGGCACCUCGAUGUCGGCUCGUCACAUCCUGGGGCUGGAGAAGGUCCCAAGGGUUGGGCUGUUCGCCCAUUAAAGUGGCACGCGAGCUGGGUUCAGAACGUCGCGAGACAGUUCGGUCCCUAUCUACUGUGGGCGUUGGAAAUUUGCGAGGACCUGACUCUAGUACGAGAGGACCGAGUUGGACAAACCUCUGGUGUACCAGUUGUUCCGCCAGGAGCACCGCUGGGUAGCUAUGUUUGGAAGAGAUAAGCACUGAAAGCAUCUAAGUGCGAAACUCGCCUCAAGAUGAGAUUUCCUUUAAGGGUCGUUGGAGAUGACGACGUUGAUAGGCUGCAGGUGUAAAGUCAGUGAUGGCAAAGCCGAGCAGUACUAAUUACCCUAUGUCUUCCCUUC